UACGUAGGGUGCAUGCGUUGUCCGGAAUUAUUGGGCGUAAAGAGCUCGUAGGCGGUUUGUCGCGUCUGCUGUGAAAACGCGAGGCUCAACCUCGCGCCUGCAGUGGGUACGGGCAGACUAGAGUGCGGUAGGGGAGAUUGGAAUUCCUGGUGUAGCGGUGGAAUGCGCAGAUAUCAGGAGGAACACCGAUGGCGAAGGCAGAUCUCUGGGCCGUAACUGACGCUGAGGAGCGAAAGCGUGGGGAGCGAACAGG
Molecule: ribosomal RNA, 253 nt
Filed under: uncultured bacterium
Lineage: Bacteria
Description: partial 16S ribosomal RNA
Rfam family: Bacterial small subunit ribosomal RNA
Source: RNAcentral